This 451-nucleotide ribosomal RNA is filed under the name uncultured bacterium. RNAcentral's name for it is "partial 16S ribosomal RNA". It matches the Rfam family "Bacterial small subunit ribosomal RNA", at positions 354 to 796 of the family's 1533-position model. The record is from RNAcentral.
GUGGGGAAUAUUGGACAAUGGGGGGAACCCUGAUCCAGCCAUGCCGCGUGUGUGAAGAAGGCCUUUUGGUUGUAAAGCACUUUAAGCGAGGAGGAGGCUACCGAGAUUAAUACUCUUGGAUAGUGGACGUUACUCGCAGAAUAAGCACCGGCUAACUCUGUGCCAGCAGCCGCGGUAAUACAGAGGGUGCAAGCGUUAAUCGGAUUUACUGGGCGUAAAGCGCGCGUAGGUGGCCAAUUAAGUCAAAUGUGAAAUCCCCGAGCUUAACUUAGGAAUUGCAUUCGAUACUGGUUGGCUAGAGUAUGGGAGAGGAUGGUAGAAUUCCAGGUGUAGCGGUGAAAUGCGUAGAGAUCUGGAGGAAUACCGAUGGCGAAGGCAGCCAUCUGGCCUAAUACUGACGCUGAGGUGCGAAAGCAUGGGGAGCAAACAGGAUUAGAAACCCUGGUAGUCC